This 428-nucleotide ribosomal RNA is filed under the name uncultured bacterium. RNAcentral describes it as "bacterial SSU rRNA". It matches the Rfam family "Bacterial small subunit ribosomal RNA", at positions 355 to 773 of the family's 1533-position model. The record is from RNAcentral.
UGCGGAAUUUUAGAUAAUGGAGGGAACUCUGAUCUAGCGACGCCGCGUGCAGGAAGAAGGUCUUCGGAUUGUAAACUGCUGUGGUAAGGGAAAAAUGCUAUGUAGAGUGGAAAGCUACAUAGAGGGAUGGUACCUUACUAGAAAGCCCCGGCUAACUACGUGCCAGCAGCCGCGGUAAUACGUAGGGGGCGAGCGUUACCCGGAAUCACUGGGCGUAAAGGGAGCGUAGGUGGCCUAACAUGUCAACUGUGAAAACCCGGAGCUCAACUCCGUACUUGCAGUUGAAACUGGUAGGCUUGAGGACGGUAGAGGAAGACGGAACUGCCAGUGUAGGGGUAAGAUCCUUAGAUAUUGGCAGGAACGCCGGUGACGAAGAUGGUUUUCUGGGCCGGUUCUGACACUGAUGCUCGAAAGCCAGGGGAGCGAAC